GGAAGAGAGCGGCGGACGGGUGAGUAACGCGUGGGUAACCUGCCCUGUACACACGGAUAACAUACCGAAAGGUAUGCUAAUACGAGAUAAUAUGCUUUUAUCGCAUGGUAGAAGUAUCAAAGCUCCGGCGGUACAGGAUGGACCCGCGUCUGAUUAGCUAGUUGGUAAGGUAACGGCUUACCAAGGCGACGAUCAGUAGCCGACCUGAGAGGGUGAUCGGCCACAUUGGAACUGAGACACGGUCCAAACUCCUACGGGAGGCAGCAGUGGGGAAUAUUGCACAAUGGGCGAAAGCCUGAUGCAGCAACGCCGCGUGAGCGAUGAAGGCCUUCGGGUCGUAAAGCUCUGUCCUCAAGGAAGAUAAUGACGGUACUUGAGGGGGAAGCCCCGGCUAACUACGUGCCAGCAGCCGCGGUAAUACGUAGGGGGCUAGCGUUAUCCGGAAUUACUGGGCGUAAAGGGUGCGUAGGUGGUUUCUUAAGUCAGAGGUGAAAGGCUACGGCUCAACCGUAGUAAGCCUUUGAAACUGGGAAACUUGAGUGCAGGAGAGGAGAGUGGAAUUCCUAGUGUAGCGGUGAAAUGCGUAGAUAUU
RNAcentral lists this ribosomal RNA (592 nucleotides) under uncultured Clostridium sp. RNAcentral describes it as "bacterial SSU rRNA". It matches the Rfam family "Bacterial small subunit ribosomal RNA", at positions 87 to 698 of the family's 1533-position model. The record is from RNAcentral. Lineage: Bacteria; Bacillati; Bacillota; Clostridia; Eubacteriales; Clostridiaceae.